UGCCAGCAGCCGCGGUAAUACGAAGGGGGCUAGCGUUGUUCGGGAUUACUGGGCGUAAAGCGCGCGUAGGUGGUUUAUUAAGUGGGAUGUGAAAGCCCCGGGCUUAACCUGGGAACUGCAUUCCAAACUGAUGAACUAGAGUACGAUAGAGGGGGGUAGAAUUCAGAGUGUAGCGGUGAAAUGCGUAGAUAUUCUGAGGAAUACCGGUGGCGAAGGCGGCUCACUGGCUCGAUACUGACGCUGAGGUGCGAAAGCGUGGGGAGCAAACAGGAUUAGAUA
RNAcentral lists this ribosomal RNA (279 nucleotides) under uncultured bacterium. Its description in RNAcentral is "partial 16S ribosomal RNA". It matches the Rfam family "Bacterial small subunit ribosomal RNA", at positions 506 to 784 of the family's 1533-position model. The record is from RNAcentral.